This 907-nucleotide long non-coding RNA is filed under the name Parus major (Great Tit). Its description in RNAcentral is "lncRNA (ENSPMJG00000002810.1)". Lineage: Eukaryota; Metazoa; Chordata; Aves; Passeriformes; Paridae. The record is from RNAcentral.
GGAAGAUAAUUUGUUCCCACUGGUUUUAUUAAUUAGAUAAUAUUAUUAAGUUACUAAGCAUGUUUAGCAAUUCUCCCAUGAUUUCCACAUUGUGCUCUUUGGCACUCCUGAACAUAAAAGAUCACUUAUUGAUGCAUUUUAGUGAGUAGAUUAGGUGCAAUAAAUUCUACAGUUGUCGCCCUGAAAACUCAGCUUCUGAGCUUGCUGACAUAGUUUUCUAAGGACUUUCCCAGGACAGUAACUGUAAACAUAGAUAUGUGUACAUUCCUUCUGCUACACAUCUCGUGAUGGACAUCUCUCAUGGCCAGUGCAGUGAGAAAGUGUUAUCCUGACCAUCCAAUCCCUGGCUGUGGUCAGAAACCUAUAAAUCCUGGGAGGAAAAAUAAACUUUCUCUUCCUUUCACCACACCUCGAGCUGUGUCCGUGUGAUCCAUUCAGCACCAGCGGCAACAUACAGUAACUCAUCUUCACGAGAAUCUAUGAAUGACAAUGACAAACACAUCUUACAAAAUCCUGACAAGAUCAAAAACAACAAUGAAUUUGCCUGUGGUAUAGCCAUAAUUACAGAAACAUGGAAUCACAGAAUUAUUGGAGUUGGAAGGAACCUCUGGAGAUCAUCAAGUCCAACCAUCCUGCCAAGGCAGAGUAAUUUAGAAGAGGUGUUAUCGAAAAGCAAUGAGGUACGUUCUGAAUGUCUCCAGAGCAAGAGAAUUCACAGCCUUCCUGGAAAACCUGUUCCAGUGCUCUGCCUCAGUGUAAAGAAGUUCUUCCUCAUGUUGAGGUGGAACUUCUUGUAUUUUAUUUUAUGGCCAUUAUCCCUCCUGUUUCUGAGCUUCACUAAAAAGAGUCUGGUACCUUCCUAUUGACAUUUACCUUUGAGAUUAAUGUACAUUAAUGAGAUCCCCUC